Molecule: non-coding RNA, 477 nt
Organism: Xyrichtys novacula (pearly razorfish)
Lineage: Eukaryota; Metazoa; Chordata; Actinopteri; Labriformes; Labridae
Source: the annotation of a GenBank genome assembly
GCGUGUAAUGAGAGGGGGAGACACGGUGAGGUGUGAUUUGCGGAAUAAGGGGGAGAGAAAAAUGGAAGAGAGGGGGAGACAGAGGGAGAUUUGUGUGGUGAGAAACCUACCAUUGCUAACAGAGAAUUUGUUUUUGUUAUUUUUGUGUGUGUGUUCAGGUGAUAUUGUUAAUGCUCGGACUGGACGCUGUUAUUUAAAGGAAAUGCCCACUCUGAACUUUUCAUGGCAUGUUUUUUUAAUCGGAUUCAACGCGAGGAGCUCCUGCUACAAGAGGGUUGUAUCUGGAAUUUAAAGAAAGGGAAAAUAAUGGGUCAUCAUCCAAAUCUAUUGUCAUUUUGUUGAUUUUUUAAAAUGUGAAAAUUAAAAACAAAGUGCUCCAGUCUGUGUUAUCUAUCAAAUAAGGCGCUAUAAUGAUAAAAGCUGAUUUUCUCUCGUCAGCUAGGCUAUAUGUUUAUAUGUAAGAGGCCCUAGGCUGCU